AAAGAAAGAGAGCAAAAAUGGAAUCACAACGCAACAAAGAACCACCACUCUGCGCUAAUGGCUGUGGCUUCUAUGGAACAGUAGAGAAUCGGAAUUUAUGCUCCAAGUGUUAUGAAGAAUACCAACAGCAAGAAGAGAAUGCUUCUAGUUUCUUGCACGAGAAAGUUAAAUGCUCAAGGCUGCUGAAGCGCCAUCAGUGUAGUAUGUUACUAGUAUGUCACUGACAGAAGUCUCUCCAAAAUUUAGAAGAGGUGGUAGAAAGGAAAAGGGCUGGGCUUGAUCCUUGAUAAGGAAGGUACCAUUAACUAUUAAGCUGGACAAAUUGCUAAAGAUUGAGAAAAUUUUAGAAAUAUGAACUGAUACCAGAGUUGUUGUUUGGAUAUUAUAGCUUGUCAAGUUUUCAUUUAGUCAUCUACUGGUGGUAACUGUUUUAGGUCAAGGCUCUGUUUCAUUUUUAUGUUUUCUGUCCUCAGUUGUUUUUGUUGGUUUGAUUUUGUGUGGGGUUUGUGGUUGGUGCUCCCUUAGGUUUGGGUGUAUGAGGGAUUGCCUAAUGGAAAGGUCUUAGUUUGGAGCCCUUCCCUGCCCUCUGUUUCC
This 594-nucleotide unclassified non-coding RNA is filed under the name Hevea brasiliensis (rubber tree). The record is from RNAcentral. Lineage: Eukaryota; Viridiplantae; Streptophyta; Magnoliopsida; Malpighiales; Euphorbiaceae.